GAGUUACUACUCCAAACCCAUUGUGAACCUUACCUAUGUUCUGUUGCCUCGGCGGCGUGGUCAGCGCCCCCUCUGAAAAGAGGACGAUGCCCUCCCGCCGGCAGCACCAAACUCUUUGAAUUUUACAGCGGAUUACAGUUCUGAUUUGAAAACAAAAAACAAGUUAAAACUUUCAACAACGGAUCUCUUGGUUCUGGCAUCGAUGAAGAACGCAGCGAAAUGCGAUAAGUAAUGUGAAUUGCAGAAUUCAGUGAAUCAUCGAAUCUUUGAACGCACAUUGCGCCCGGCAGUAAUCUGCCGGGCAUGCCUGUCCGAGCGUCAUUUCAACCCUCGAACCUCCGUUUCCUCAGGGAAGCUCAGGGUCGGUGUUGGGGCGCUACGGCGAGUCUUCGCGACCCUCCGUAGGCCCUGAAAUACAGUGGCGGUCCCGCCGCGGUUGCCUUCUGCGUAGUAAGUCUCUUUUGCAAGCUCGCAUUGGGUCCCGGCGGAGGCCUGCCGUCAAACCACCUAUAACUCCAGAUGGUUUGACCUCGGAUCAGGUAGGGUUACCCGCUGAACUUAA
Molecule: ribosomal RNA, 562 nt
Filed under: Scedosporium apiospermum
Lineage: Eukaryota; Fungi; Ascomycota; Sordariomycetes; Microascales; Microascaceae
Description: eukaryotic LSU rRNA
Rfam family: 5.8S ribosomal RNA (bases 168-321)
Source: RNAcentral